This 497-nucleotide ribosomal RNA is filed under the name uncultured bacterium. RNAcentral describes it as "partial 16S ribosomal RNA". It matches the Rfam family "Bacterial small subunit ribosomal RNA", at positions 28 to 507 of the family's 1533-position model. The record is from RNAcentral.
GAUGAACGCUGGCGGCGUGCCUAAUACAUGCAAGUCGAGCGAACAGACGAGGAGCUUGCUCCUUCGACGUUAGCGGCGGACGGGUGAGUAACACGUAGGUAACCUACCUAUAAGACUGGGAUAACUUCGGGAAACCGGAGCUAAUACCGGAUAAUAUUUCGAACCGCAUGGUUCGAUAGUGAAAGAUGGCUUUGCUAUCACUUAUAGAUGGACCUGCGCCGUAUUAGCUAGUUGGUAAGGUAACGGCUUACCAAGGCAACGAUACGUAGCCGACCUGAGAGGGUGAUAGGCGACCCGGGAACUGGACCAGCGUCCAGGCUACUGAGGGACGCCCCAGACGCGAACCGGACGCAACAGGGGGAAAUAUGACGGAACGAGCGCAAGCGAGAGACGGAAACGCUGCGUGCGUAAAAACGUGCUAUUAGGGAAAAACCACUGUGGCAGUAAACGUAGCCGGAUUGACGGUAACUAAUAAGAAAGCAACGGCUAACUACGUG